This 301-nucleotide ribosomal RNA is filed under the name uncultured bacterium. RNAcentral's name for it is "partial 16S ribosomal RNA". It matches the Rfam family "Bacterial small subunit ribosomal RNA", at positions 509 to 807 of the family's 1533-position model. The record is from RNAcentral.
CAGUCGCCGCGGGAAUACAGAGGGUGCGAGCGUUAAUCGGAUUUACUGGGCGUAAAGCGUGUGUAGGUUGUUGUUCAAGUCAGUUGUGAAAUCCCCGAGCUUAACUUGGGAAUUGCAUUCGAUACUGGUUAGCUAGAGUGUGGGAGAGGAUGGUAGAAUUCCAGGUGUAGCGGUGAAAUGCGUAGAGAUCUGGAGGAAUACCGAUGGCGAAGGCGACUAUCUGGGCCAACACUGACACUGAGGCACGAAAGCGUGGGGAGCAAACAGGAUUAGAUACCCCAGUAGUCCCUGUCUCUUAUAC